This 333-nucleotide long non-coding RNA is filed under the name Phoenix dactylifera (date palm). RNAcentral's name for it is "long non-coding RNA (PDAC_LNC008718)". Lineage: Eukaryota; Viridiplantae; Streptophyta; Magnoliopsida; Arecales; Arecaceae. The record is from RNAcentral.
UGACGGAGGUUAUGGAUAUCUCGUCAAAUUCCAUCGUCCGUCAUGUCAAAUUUAUACGACUUCCAGUUCGAGAUAUGGAAAACUCUUUUUCCAAAAUACCUGGCCAGAAAUUUAUCGAACUCAAUCUCAUAAAUCACAUAGGAUCACUUCUAAUCUUUCAAGGUCGAUAGAUCCCAUCUAGAUGCAACCCUAUUCCAAAAUGAACCUAUUGUAGUCAAUCCGCACUACAAGGACCCAAAUGGCUAGGGCCCAAGUUCACAUGCUCGUCAAACUACAGCAACUUGACAGUGGAUAGCUGAGGCAUCGUAGGUCAAAAGACCAGUCAUACAACUG